Non-coding RNA from Pseudonaja textilis, 155 nucleotides. Lineage: Eukaryota; Metazoa; Chordata; Lepidosauria; Squamata; Elapidae. The record is from RefSeq and is a predicted model, not a curated record.
ACCCGAAAAUCAGCUGGCUGGCAGGAGGCAUGUGCGCAUGCACAAUGGAACUGAGCUGGGGCGAUGGCUUGCAUGCCCGCAGAGAUGGCACUGCAUACCACUUCCGGCAUGUGUGUCAUAGGUUCACCAUCACGGGUAUAAAAUCUCAUUUCAGC